RNAcentral lists this microRNA precursor (87 nucleotides) under Daucus carota subsp. sativus. RNAcentral's name for it is "sRNA DCAR_mi00153". Lineage: Eukaryota; Viridiplantae; Streptophyta; Magnoliopsida; Apiales; Apiaceae. The record is from RNAcentral.
CGCAGAUCAAUUUCAUGUCAACAUAAAUAUUUUUUUUCAUUGAUUAUAAAAUAAUGACUUUUUAGUAUUUUAUAUUAAAAUAAUAAU